UCCUGACUGACCGAUAGUGAACCAGUACCGUGAGGGAAAGGCGAAAAGAACCCCGGCGAGGGGAGUGAAAUAGAACCUGAAACCGUGUACGUACAAGCAGUGGGAGCACCUUCGUGGUGUGACUGCGUACCUUUUGUAUAAUGGGUCAGCGACUUAUAUUUUGUAGCAAGGUUAACCGUAUAGGGGAGCCGUAGGGAAACCGAGUCUUAACUGGGCGAUUAGUUGCAAGGUAUAGACCCGAAACCCGGUGAUCUAGCCAUGGGCAGGUUGAAGGUUGGGUAACACUAACUGGAGGACCGAACCGACUAAUGUUGAAAAAUUAGCGGAUGACUUGUGGCUGGGGGUGAAAGGCCAAUCAAACCGGGAGAUAGCUGGUUCUCCCCGAAAGCUAUUUAGGUAGCGCCUCGUGAACUCAUCUUCGGGGGUAGAGCACUGUUUCGGCUAGGGGGCCAUCCCGGCUUACCAAACCGAUGCAAACUCCGAAUACCGAAGAAUGUUAUCACGGGAGACACACGGCGGGUGCUAACGUCCGUCGUGAAGAGGGAAACAACCCAGACCGCCAGCUAAGGUCCCAAAGUCAUGGUUAAGUGGGAAACGAUGUGGGAAGGCAUAGACAGCCAGGAUGUUGGCUUAGAAGCAGCCAUCAUUUAAAGAAAGCGUAAUAGCUCACUGGUCGAGUCGGCCUGCGCGGAAGAUGUAACGGGGCUAAACCAUGCACCGAAGCUGCGGCAGCGACGCUUAGGCGUUGUUGGGUAGGGGAGCGUUCUGUAAGCCGUUGAAGGUGGCCUGUGA
This 792-nucleotide non-coding RNA is filed under the name Asticcacaulis sp. YBE204. RNAcentral describes it as "Bacterial large subunit ribosomal RNA". It matches the Rfam family "Bacterial large subunit ribosomal RNA", at positions 474 to 1266 of the family's 2925-position model. The record is from Rfam by way of RNAcentral. Lineage: Bacteria; Pseudomonadati; Pseudomonadota; Alphaproteobacteria; Caulobacterales; Caulobacteraceae.